CCUGCAACAAACCCCGACUUCUGGAAGGGAUGCAUUUAUUAGAUAAAAGGUCGACACGGGCUUUGCCCGUUGCUGCGAUGAUUCAUGAUAACUCGACGAAUCGCAUGGCCCUCGUGCCGGCGACGCAUCAUUCAAAUUUCUGCCCUAUCAACUUUCGAUGGUAGGAUAGUAGCCUACUAUGGUGGUGACGGGUGACGGAGAAUUAGGGUUCCAUUCCGGAGAGUGAGCCUGAGAAACGGCUACCACAUCCAAGGAAGGCAGCAGGUGCGCAAAUUACCCAAUCCUGACACGGGAAGGUAGUGACAAUAAAUAACAAUAUCGGGCUCUACGAGUCUAGUAAUUGGAAUGAGUAUAAUCUAAAUCCCUUAACGUGGAUCCAUUGGAGGGCAAGUCUGAUGCCAGCAGCCACGGUAAUUCCAGCUCCAAUAGUGUAUAUUUAAGUUGUUGCAGUUAAAAAGCUCGUAGUUGGACCUUGGGUUGGGUCGGCCGGUCCGCCUCUGGUG
Sesamum indicum (sesame) is the source of this 503-nucleotide non-coding RNA. The record is from RefSeq and is a predicted model, not a curated record. Lineage: Eukaryota; Viridiplantae; Streptophyta; Magnoliopsida; Lamiales; Pedaliaceae.